RNAcentral lists this ribosomal RNA (274 nucleotides) under uncultured bacterium. Its description in RNAcentral is "partial 16S ribosomal RNA". It matches the Rfam family "Bacterial small subunit ribosomal RNA", at positions 523 to 796 of the family's 1533-position model. The record is from RNAcentral.
AUACGAAGGGGGCUAGCGUUGUUCGGAAUUACUGGGCGUAAAGCGCGCGUAGGCGGACUGAUCAGUUGGGGGUGAAAUCCCAGGGCUUAACCCUGGAACUGCCUCCAAUACUGUCAGUCUUGAGUUCGGGAGAGGUGAGUGGAAUUCCUAGUGUAGAGGUGAAAUUCGUAGAUAUUAGGAAGAACACCAGUGGCGAAGGCGGCUCACUGGCCCGAUACUGACGCUGAGGCGCGAAAGCGUGGGGAGCAAACAGGAUUAGAAACCCUAGUAGUCC